AGGGCAAACUGCCAAAAUGCUGCUUAGGAAACGAAGUGCCCCGGGCUCGACACCGCUGUAAGGACGUAACCUUGAGAAGGGACAGCAUUCAAUAACCCCGGCUUCGGAUGCCUUCUUGAAUGUCUCAUUCCCCUGAACAAGGGCACUGGUGACAGAGCUCAUCUCUGGCAGCGAGAGAGGAAGCAAGGAGAGAUCUCCUUCUGAGUGCUCUUGUUUGAGGAGACAGCUUGGAGCUGUUAGUUUGCUGGAGAUGCUGACGUGGAUGAAUGGCUGACUCUGAGGUGGUGAAUUUGAUAGUUAUAUAUGGAGAUUUGUGCUCAGUUAACUUUUACAUCCUCGUUGGGAAUGACUGGGGAUGUUUCAGACCAGGGUUAUGUAUGAAGAUUUUAAUCUGUGUCAUAAAUUCACCCUCACAAUGCAGCUACUGGAAUAUCUGUGGGAGAGAGAAGGCAGGAUGGAAUGAGAGAGAACACGUUGAAGAGUUGCCUGUGAGGUGCUUGCAGCUUCUACUGUUGUUCUCGGCUGAUGUCCAUUUUAAUGACUGUGUUAGGGGAUAAAGUAUUUC
Molecule: long non-coding RNA, 565 nt
Organism: Neopelma chrysocephalum (saffron-crested tyrant-manakin)
Lineage: Eukaryota; Metazoa; Chordata; Aves; Passeriformes; Pipridae
Exons: 3
Source: RefSeq, a predicted model, not a curated record